GAUCGCCUUCGGGGUCGGGUGAAAUUCCCAACCGGCGGUGAUGAGUGGACGUAAAACUCUAAGCCCGUGACCCGUUUUAUAAGAGUUAAAUUUAUAAAACGGUGGAUUUGGUGAGAAACCAAAGCCGACAGUAAAGUCUGGAUGGGAGAAGGCAAAU
RNAcentral lists this non-coding RNA (157 nucleotides) under Niallia circulans. RNAcentral describes it as "Bacillus circulans FMN sequence". It matches the Rfam family "FMN riboswitch aptamer (RFN element)". Rfam says of the family: The RFN element is a highly conserved domain that is found frequently in the 5'-untranslated regions of prokaryotic mRNAs that encode for flavin mononucleotide (FMN) biosynthesis and transport proteins. This element is a metabolite-dependent riboswitch that directly binds FMN in the absence of proteins. Lineage: Bacteria; Bacillati; Bacillota; Bacilli; Caryophanales; Bacillaceae. The record is from Rfam by way of RNAcentral.